AUUUUGCGUUAACGAUUGCAGUGGCAUCCUUUUUUUCUUUUCAGAAAAAAAGAUACAGCGGAAAGCGUGUUAAAAC
RNAcentral lists this small RNA (76 nucleotides) under Pedobacter psychrophilus. RNAcentral's name for it is "Pedobacter sp. CCM 8644 Flavo-1 RNA". It matches the Rfam family "Flavo-1 RNA". The record is from Rfam by way of RNAcentral. Lineage: Bacteria; Pseudomonadati; Bacteroidota; Sphingobacteriia; Sphingobacteriales; Sphingobacteriaceae.